Molecule: long non-coding RNA, 625 nt
Filed under: Elaeis guineensis (African oil palm)
Lineage: Eukaryota; Viridiplantae; Streptophyta; Magnoliopsida; Arecales; Arecaceae
Description: long non-coding RNA (EGUI_LNC006119)
Source: RNAcentral
GGGGAUAGCAUCCUCCUUGGGGGAUAAUCCCCACUUAUCCCUACCAAAGUAACCAAACGCAGCCUAUUACACUCUCAAGUUUAAGAGAAACCACCAAAUAGCUUCUGAUAAUAAAUCAGACCGACCGUCUGCUACUUUCAGUACUUCUUAACCCUCUAUUGCCCCACUAUUGUAUUGACGGUUGUUCAACCGUCGAUAAGAAGAUGCGGAUGUGAGGAUGAGGCCACGGUUGCUCGGCUUUCUGCACUUGGGAAUUAAGGAUUCACAAGCAAAGAAUCUUUGAUUCGACGAUCUCGAUAGUCCUCAGGUGCGCAAGAAGUAGGAGAGGGAUUAAUUAACAUAAAAACUUGUAAAGAAAUGGAAUUUAUCAUUGUACAUGUGUGCGCGCUGGCGCGCAGUUGUGUGUGUGUGUGAGAGAGAGAGAGAUUAUGUAGGUUAUCGUUCUCUUAAAGAUGGCUUAGAAACAAAAGCCAAGGGAAUGUUGUGCCUGGGAGCACAGAACGUGUCUCUCUCUCUCUCUCUCUCCUCUUAGCGCAUGUAUAUUCUGCAUAUCACAAGGAUGCAUGCACAUGCACGUACAUGCAUGGUGUGCAUGUCAAGCUCCUCGUUGAUCUUUUCAAGUCUG